UCUCCGUUGGUGAACCAGCGGAGGGAUCAUUACAGGACUCGCAAGACUCCUUCACCCUGUGAACCUCACUACAAGCACGUUGCUUCGGCGGGUGUCCCGGCGGGGGUUUUCCCUCGCCGGGGCGCACAGCCCGCCGGCAGCCUACUAUACUCUGUCUCUUUGCGUUGGCAUCUCGAGAAAAAACAAACAAGUUAAGACUUUCAACAACGGAUCUCUUGGUUCUG
Molecule: unclassified non-coding RNA, 224 nt
Filed under: plant metagenome
Description: partial contains small subunit ribosomal RNA, internal transcribed spacer 1, and 5.8S ribosomal RNA
Source: RNAcentral